UCACUGCUUGCGCAGGCAGUUUCAGUAGAGUUCCCAGCAUUACCUGUUGGCAACUACUGAUAGGGGUUGCGCUCGUUAUGGGACUUAACCCGACACCUCACGGCACGAGCUGACGACAGCCAUGCAGCACCUAGACAGUUGUUCUUGCGAAAAGUCUCCUUUCAGAGACGGUCAACUGUCUUUCAAGCCCAGGUAAGGUUCCUCGCGUACCAUCGAAUUAAACCACAUGCUCCUCCGCUUGUGCGGGCCCCCGUCAAUUCCUUUGAGUUUCAACCUUGCGGUCGUACUCCCCAGGUGGAUCACUUAAUGCUUUCGCUUAGUCGCUGACUGUGUAUCGCCAACAACGAGUGAUCAUCGUUUACAGUGCGGACUAC
RNAcentral lists this unclassified non-coding RNA (374 nucleotides) under uncultured Sphingobacteriales bacterium. Its description in RNAcentral is "contains 16S-23S intergenic spacer region". The record is from RNAcentral. Lineage: Bacteria; Pseudomonadati; Bacteroidota; Sphingobacteriia; Sphingobacteriales.